RNAcentral lists this ribosomal RNA (496 nucleotides) under uncultured bacterium. RNAcentral describes it as "partial 16S ribosomal RNA". It matches the Rfam family "Bacterial small subunit ribosomal RNA", at positions 28 to 507 of the family's 1533-position model. The record is from RNAcentral.
GAUGAACGCUGGCGGCGUGCCUAAUACAUGCAAGUCGAGCGAACGGACGAGAAGCUUGCUUCUCUGAUGUUAGCGGCGGACGGGUGAGUAACACGUGGAUAACCUACCUAUAAGACUGGGAUAACUUCGGGAAACCGGAGCUAAUACCGGAUAAUAUUUUGAACCGCAUGGUUCAAAAGUGAAAGACGGUCUUGCUGUCACUUAUAGAUGGAUCCGCGCUGCAUUAGCUAGUUGGUAAGGUAACGGCUUACCAAGGCAACGAUGCAUAGCCGACCUGAGAGGGUGAUCGGCCACACUGGAACUGAGACACGGUCCAGACUCCUACGGGAGGCAGCAGUAGGGAAUCUUCCAAAUGGGCGAAAGCCUGACGGAGCAACGCCGCGUGAGUGAUGAAGGUCUUCGGAUCGUAAAACUCUGUUAUUAGGGAAGAACAUAUGUGUAAGUAACUGUGCACAUCUUGACGGUACCUAAUCAGAAAGCCACGGCUAACUACGUG